AAAAUUCCCCACGCCCUUGACCUCAUCCCCUCAAAUCCCUCAUCUCAACGCCCAAUCUCUCAAAUCCCUGCAGCCAUCUUCUUCCUCCUCCGCUCCAGCCGCCACCUCCCACGUCAUCUCAUUGCAUCUCCAUUCGCUCCCACCGCCGCCUCCACGUCGGCCUCCUUCGACACCGUUGACGCGUUGACGUAGGGCUUGAAGAGAACCAGUUCCUGUUCUUGAGAUUGUAGUAUACUCUGAAGCUCGAGAGCUCACCGGCGUAAAUGGUGAAGUUGAACGGGUCGUCGGUGGACCCCUCUCCGAAGCCCUUGAAACUGUCGCUUCCCUUGUUGAACGACUCGCCGUAGCUCGCGAAGGUCGCUCCCCCGACGUUCGCUUGCUUCCCCGACUUAAUCUUGGGUUUCUUUAAUAUUCUUGGAUCAACUAGGUUUUGAUAGGUCAUUAUGCUUUGCAGGGAGAGAUUGUUCAGGCCUGAGCUUCGGAUCACAUCACUAAUUGCAUCAGAUCAUCUUAAAAACUAUGUCAAUGUUGAAGCUGUCAAAUCCCAUUUUAAAAAGGUCUAUGGAACAUAUUCAGUUCCGUUAAGGUGAUGCUAGUUCUCAUAAAAGAAAGGACCGACGUACUUUCAGGUGAAAGCAAAGACAUAUGGGUUCACAUGAAACUUCAGAUCUAUAAAGGAGAUCUUGCAGAAGUUGUUGUUGAUAACGCAGGGAAGAAGGUAACAGUUAAAGCUCGUCCAAAAGAUUGAUUUACAAAACAUUGCUGCUAAGAUGGCUUGUGUGACUUUCGUUCCACUUAUUUGUAGCAUAUGUCAUCUCUCUUUUGACUGAUAUACCACAUUCUGCUCGUCCUGCUUCGACUACUAACACUCCUACUUCUAGUGGUCAGGAUUUAUCACAUGAGAAUCUUAUUAGGAUAUUUGCAGACCUGGGGCGUCCGGGCUUGUCCCAGGAGGACAUUCUUCUAGGAAUUUCUUCCGUUCCUUGACUGGAUGGAUUAGGCCACUCCUAAUCUUAUUUUGGAUGUUUGAGACAUUUUGGAUAUUAGAGACAAAUAUAUAAUAUUGGAUACUUUUCAUUGUGAGAUAUAGAGUAAUCAUUGUGUAUGUAUAUGUUUUGUCUCUAAUAUUAUAUAUUGAGUAAUCAUUGUGUAUGUAUAUAUAAUAUCGGAUAUUCAACACCUUUUGAGA
This is a long non-coding RNA of Asparagus officinalis (garden asparagus), 1189 nucleotides long. RefSeq lists it as uncharacterized. NCBI's taxonomy places the organism in Eukaryota, Viridiplantae, Streptophyta, Magnoliopsida, Asparagales, Asparagaceae. The record is from RefSeq and is a predicted model, not a curated record. The transcript is spliced from 4 exons.